RNAcentral lists this ribosomal RNA (510 nucleotides) under uncultured bacterium. RNAcentral describes it as "partial 16S ribosomal RNA". It matches the Rfam family "Bacterial small subunit ribosomal RNA", at positions 28 to 507 of the family's 1533-position model. The record is from RNAcentral.
GACGAACGCUGGCGGCGUGCUUAACACAUGCAAGUCGAACGAAGAGCGAUGGAUUCUUGCUUCUAUCACUCUUAGUGGCGUACGUGUGAGUAACGCGUAAUCAACCUGCCCUUCAGAGGGGUACAACAGUUGGAAACGACUUCUAAUGCCGCAUACGAUCUGACCUCGGCAUCUAGGAUAUAUGAAAGUUGUCCUCUAUUUAUAAGCUAUCACUUAAGGAGGGGAUUGCGUCUGAUUAGCUAGUUGGUGUGGUAACGGCCCACCAAGGGGAUGAUCAGUAGAAGGACAGAGAGGAGGAACGGACAAAAUGGGAAGGAGACAAGGACCAGAAGGAUACGGGAGGGAGCAGUGGGGAAACAUGCGAAAAGGAGGAAAGACUGAAGGAGAAAAGCCGAGGGAGGGAUGACGGACUUAGGGUUGUAAAGAUCGGUUAAUCGGGACGAAAGGCCUUCUUGCGAAUAGUUAGAAGGAUUGACGGUACCGGAAUAGAAAGCAACGGCUAACUACGUG